GCAUAUCAAUAAGCGGAGGAAAAGAAACUAACAAGGAUUCCCCUAGUAACGGCGAGUGAAGCGGGAAGAGCUCAAAUUUGAAAUCUGGUGGCCUCAGGUCAUCCGAGUUGUAAUCUAUAGAAGUGUUUUCCGUGCUGGCUCAUGUACAAGUCCCUUGGAACAGGGCGUCAUAGAGGGUGAGAAUCCCGUCCUUGACAUGAACUACCAGUGCUCUGUGAUACAUUUUCAACGAGUCGAGUUGUUUGGGAAUGCAGCUCAAAAUGGGUGGUAAAUUCCAUCUAAAGCUAAAUAUUGGCGAGAGACCGAUAGCGAACAAGUACCGUGAGGGAAAGAUGAAAAGCACUUUGGAAAGAGAGUUAAACAGUAUGUGAAAUUGUUGAAAGGGAAACGAUUGAAGUCAGUCGAGCUCUUUGGAUUCAGCCGGUUCUGCCGGUGUACUUCCUUUGAGUGGGGUCAACAUCAGUUUUGAUCGCUGGAUAAAGGCUGGAGGAACGUAGUACCCUCGGGUAAACUUAUAGCCUCCUGUCACAUACAGUGGUUGGGACUGAGGAACGCAGCACGCCUUUAUGGCCGGGAUUCGUCCACGUACGUGCUUAGGAUGUUGACAUAAUGGCUUUAAACGACCGGUCUUGAAACACGGACC
RNAcentral lists this ribosomal RNA (643 nucleotides) under uncultured fungus. Its description in RNAcentral is "eukaryotic LSU rRNA". It matches the Rfam family "Eukaryotic large subunit ribosomal RNA", at positions 38 to 667 of the family's 3401-position model. The record is from RNAcentral. Lineage: Eukaryota; Fungi.